GACGAACGCUGGCGGCAUGCCUAACACAUGCAAGUCGAGCGAGCAGAUCCCUUCGGGGUGAAGCUAGCGGCGGACGGGUGAGUAACACGUGGGCAACCUGCCUCAUAGAGGGGAAUAGCCUUCCGAAAGGAAGAUUAAUACCGCAUAAGAUUGUAGCUUCGCAUGAAGUAGCAAUUAAAGGAGCAAUCCACUAUGAGAUGGGCCCGCGGCGCAUUAGCUAGUUGGUGAGGUAACGGCUCGCCAAGGCGACCAUGCGUAGCCGACCUGGGAGGGUGAUCGGCCACAUUGGGACCGAGACACGGCCGAGACUCCUACGGGUGGCAGCAGUGGGGAAUAUUGCACAAUGGGGGAAACCCUGAUGCAGCAAUGCCGCGUGAGUGAUGACGGCCUUCGGGUUGUAAAGCUCUGUCUUCGGGGACGAUAAUGACGGUACCCGAGGAGGAAGCCACGGCUAACUACGUGCCAGCAGCCGCGGUAA
RNAcentral lists this ribosomal RNA (478 nucleotides) under uncultured bacterium. RNAcentral describes it as "partial 16S ribosomal RNA". It matches the Rfam family "Bacterial small subunit ribosomal RNA", at positions 28 to 523 of the family's 1533-position model. The record is from RNAcentral.